RNAcentral lists this ribosomal RNA (660 nucleotides) under uncultured bacterium. Its description in RNAcentral is "bacterial SSU rRNA". It matches the Rfam family "Bacterial small subunit ribosomal RNA", at positions 94 to 788 of the family's 1533-position model. The record is from RNAcentral.
AGUGGCGGACGGGUGAGUAACGCGUGAGAAUCUGCCUUGGGGUCGGGGACAACCACUGGAAACGGUGGCUAAUACCGGAUAAGCCGAUUGGUGAAAGAUUUAUUGCCCGAAGAGGAGCUCGCGUCUGAUUAGCUAGUUGGUGAGGUAAGAGCUCACCAAGGCAGCGAUCAGUAGCUGGUCUGAGAGGACGAUCAGCCACACUGGGACUGAUACACGGCCCAGACUCCUACGGGAGGCAGCAGUGGGGAAUUUUCCGCAAUGGGCGAAAGCCUGACGGAGCAAGACCGCGUGAGGGAGGAAGGCUCUUGGGUUGUAAACCUCUUUUCUCAGGGAAGAAGCUCUGACGGUACCUGAGGAAUCAGCCUCGGCUAACUCCGUGCCAGCAGCCGCGGUAAUACGGAGGAGGCAAGCGUUAUCCGGAAUUAUUGGGCGUAAAGCGUCCGCAGGUGGCGAUUCAAGUCUGCUGUCAAAGCACGGGGCUUAACUCCGUAAAGGCAGUGGAAACUGAAUAGCUAGAGUGCCGUAGGGGUAGAGGGAAUUCCCGGUGUAGCGGUGAAAUGCGUAGAGAUCGGGAAGAACAUCGGUGGCGAAAGCGCUCUACUGGACGGCAACUGACACUCAGGGACGAAAGCUAGGGGAGCGAAUGGGAUUAGAUACCCC